UUUGGCCGAAUACAAAGCUAGUUAUAAUAUGGCACAUAUUAAUGUCUCCACGAUGAAGGUGCAUUGUACCUCUUUGUUUUGAAUCAAAAUAUAUUACACUUUUUUCCCCAUGGAACUAUAAGCUAACUAUAAAAUAAGGUGGUGGUGUAUGAUUAACAAUGACACAGCUACCCAAGGCACCAAAAUAACACAAAUGUUAGCAUCCCUUUGUCACCUUACAGCCUUGGAGACUAAUCAAAUCUAUACUGAAUAGCAUUCUGUAAUAAUCACCGACCAGUAGCCCAAACAAUAAAACCAAAUACUUAAUUAUUGGGCAAAACAAUAAACGAAAAACAAAUAAGAUGUACAUGAACAAACAACUACUUAUAUGACAACCACUGACUUAUGUUCUCUUUGCUAGGUACAGGCAUAUACAGAAUGUAAAUUAAAUCUUCAUAGAUACCAUGAUUAAACGUUUGUACUUCAGACAAGAGUCUCGUCUACACAAGACUUGUCAAUGCCGCUGGUAUACUUUUAGUAACAGGGUUAAACAUGUUUGGGGCGCUAAACACCAUUCUAACAUUAUACAAUAAUAUUACAAAAC
Molecule: long non-coding RNA, 583 nt
Filed under: Mytilus galloprovincialis (Mediterranean mussel)
Lineage: Eukaryota; Metazoa; Mollusca; Bivalvia; Mytilida; Mytilidae
Source: RNAcentral